RNAcentral lists this ribosomal RNA (569 nucleotides) under Penicillium commune. RNAcentral describes it as "eukaryotic LSU rRNA". The stretch from base 198 to 350 matches the Rfam family "5.8S ribosomal RNA". Lineage: Eukaryota; Fungi; Ascomycota; Eurotiomycetes; Eurotiales; Aspergillaceae. The record is from RNAcentral.
UGACCUGCGGAAGGAUCAUUACCGAGUGAGGGCCCUCUGGGUCCAACCUCCCACCCGUGUUUAUUUUACCUUGUUGCUUCGGCGGGCCCGCCUUAACUGGCCGCCGGGGGGCUCACGCCCCCGGGCCCGCGCCCGCCGAAGACACCCUCGAACUCUGUCUGAAGAUUGAAGUCUGAGUGAAAAUAUAAAUUAUUUAAAACUUUCAACAACGGAUCUCUUGGUUCCGGCAUCGAUGAAGAACGCAGCGAAAUGCGAUACGUAAUGUGAAUUGCAAAUUCAGUGAAUCAUCGAGUCUUUGAACGCACAUUGCGCCCCCUGGUAUUCCGGGGGGCAUGCCUGUCCGAGCGUCAUUGCUGCCCUCAAGCCCGGCUUGUGUGUUGGGCCCCGUCCUCCGAUUUCCGGGGGACGGGCCCGAAAGGCAGCGGCGGCACCGCGUCCGGUCCUCGAGCGUAUGGGGCUUUGUCACCCGCUCUGUAGGCCCGGCCGGCGCUUGCCGAUCAACCCAAAUUUUUAUCCAGGUUGACCUCGGAUCAGGUAGGGAUACCCGCUGAACUUAAGCAUAUCAAUAA